GUCUACGGCCAUACCAUCCUGAACGCGCCCGAUCUCAUCUGAUCUCGGAAGCUAAGCAGGGUCGGGCCUGGUUAGUACUUGGAUGGGAGAAAUUUGGUCUGAGCAGAAC
This is a ribosomal RNA of Mustela putorius furo (domestic ferret), 109 nucleotides long. Lineage: Eukaryota; Metazoa; Chordata; Mammalia; Carnivora; Mustelidae. The record is from Ensembl.